AUCGAAAGACGGACGGGGCCCACCCUCGGGCCUCAUGCCAUCAGAUGUGCCCAGAUGGGAUUAGCUAGUAGGUGGGGUAACGGCUCACCUAGGCGACGAUCCCUAGCUGGUCUGAGAGGAUGACCAGCCACACUGGAACUGAGACACGGUCCAGACUCCUACGGGAGGCAGCAGUGGGGAAUAUUGCACAAUGGGCGCAAGCCUGAUG
This 208-nucleotide ribosomal RNA is filed under the name Klebsiella pneumoniae. Its description in RNAcentral is "partial 16S ribosomal RNA". It matches the Rfam family "Bacterial small subunit ribosomal RNA", at positions 198 to 388 of the family's 1533-position model. The record is from RNAcentral. Lineage: Bacteria; Pseudomonadati; Pseudomonadota; Gammaproteobacteria; Enterobacterales; Enterobacteriaceae.